CCCAGCAGGAUGUGCAGCCUUGUCCCAGUGAAGGUACAGUGCCAAUCCAUGGAGAGGGGAAACCCCUGACUGCCCAGGAAGGCUGGAGUUCAGUGGGGCUGGUGUGGGACAGGGGCCCCUCUCUGAGGUUGUGCUCCCUGCUGCAGGGUGUCAGAGACAGCGAGGAAGAGAUGGACAUAGAUGUAGUGUUGGACAUGGAGGAGAUGAUUGAGGUCAAUAUAGUAGAUGAUGUGGAGGAGAUGGAAUUGGAUGUGCUGGAGGAGAUCAAGGACAUGGAUGUUGAUGACAAAGAUGAGGAGGAGGCCAUGGUGCUGGGAUGAGGACAAUCCCCCAUCAGCAGCAGGACUGACGGACCUGCCGGUCAUGGAAUCGACCACCUGUACAUAUGUUUUACAUGUUCUUCUGUAAAUAAGUUCUAUAUUAGUGAUGUUUUAAGGAGUUUGUUGUUUUUAUAAGUAGAUAGUUUAAGAAGAUAGAUUUUUAAUUAAGAAGAUAGGCUUUUAUUAAGAAAAUAGUUUUUUUAGAAGAUAAGGUUUCUUUUUAAGAAGAUAACUUUUUCUUAAGAAGAUAGGUGUUUUAUUUAGAAGAUAGUUGUUUUAUUAAGAAGAUAUUUUUAUUAAGAAGACACUUGUUUCUAUUAAGAAGAUGCUUGCUGAUAUUAAGACUGUUGUCAUCAAGAAGACUGUUGUUUCUAUAAAGAAGAAUACAGGUUUUAUUGAGAAAAUUCUGAAAAUGUCAAUAAAUUCUGGAGACGUGUCUUA
Corapipo altera (White-ruffed manakin) is the source of this 761-nucleotide long non-coding RNA. RefSeq lists it as uncharacterized. NCBI's taxonomy places the organism in Eukaryota, Metazoa, Chordata, Aves, Passeriformes, Pipridae. The record is from RefSeq and is a predicted model, not a curated record. The transcript has 2 exons.